GUUGUGGUUGUUGUUGAGGCAUCGGUGCCCUAGGAACUGAUGCCGGAGUUAUAUAAACUUGCUGUUGAUGAACUAAGCCUUGCGGUAUCGAUUGUAGAGUUAAAAUAUCACUGAAAUCAGAGUCAUAAGUAUUUUGUAGAUCGUUGGCGAACUUAUAUUACGACGAUAUCCUAGCACAGUCCUCCCAGAGGUGAAUAAAUGCCCAUAAAACCAACAUUAGGAUGAAGUAUAUUUGUAGAUUUGACAUAUAUAAUGAAAAACUGUACGAGGGUCAGAUGUCGAAGUUGAUGGAGUUUUCAUGGCAACAACUUCUAGCUUGGACGCCGUUUAAGAAUAAGGAGAUAUCGAGGAGUUUCAUGCAUGUUUAACUAAAUGUUAUCGAUUCUGUCUAUGGGUUAAGCAAGCUUGGAAAAUGAGAAAAUUAUGA
Harmonia axyridis is the source of this 427-nucleotide long non-coding RNA. RefSeq lists it as uncharacterized. The transcript has 3 exons. The record is from RefSeq and is a predicted model, not a curated record. NCBI's taxonomy places the organism in Eukaryota, Metazoa, Arthropoda, Insecta, Coleoptera, Coccinellidae.